This 441-nucleotide ribosomal RNA is filed under the name uncultured bacterium. Its description in RNAcentral is "partial 16S ribosomal RNA". It matches the Rfam family "Bacterial small subunit ribosomal RNA", at positions 338 to 795 of the family's 1533-position model. The record is from RNAcentral.
CCUACGGGAGGCUGCAGUGGGGAAUAUUGCACAAUGGGGGAAACCCUGAUGCAGCGACGCCGCGUGAGUGAAGAAGUAUUUCGGUAUGUAAAGCUCUAUCAGCAGGGAAGAAGAAAGACGGUACCUGACUAAGAAGCCCCGGCUAACUACGUGCCAGAAGCCGCGGUAAUACGUAGGGGGCACGCGUUAUCCGGAUUGACUGGGUGUAAAGGGAGCGUAGACGGCUGUGCAAGUCUGAAGUGAAAGCCCAGGGCUCAACCCUGGGACUGCUUUGGAAACUGUGGAGCUAGAGUGCUGGAGAGGUAAGUGGAAUUCCUAGUGUAGCGGUGAAAUGCGUAGAUAUUAGGAGGAACACCAGUGGCGAAGGCGGCUUACUGGACAGUAACUGACGUUGAGGCUCGAAAGCGUGGGGAGCGAACAGGAUUAGAUACCCGGGUAGUC